AGUCGCACCCCUUGUUGCCAGAAAUCGCUCAGUCCGCCCCUGUAACAACAGUGUUAUAUAAGCUUGAAUCGCGACACCGCUUCAUUCAGACUACAGACAACAUUCAGAGAUCAUGAAGUUUGUAAUUGCUGUCGUGUUGGUUGCUUUUCUGGCGUUGGUGAGUGGAGAAAGUUGCAGGCAUACCUCUGACUGUACAACUACCACAUGUACUGGUUCAACUCUUGUGUGCCAGCCACUUACGCACCAAUGCGUAUGUGCCACUUCAAAUGGUCAAUCAUGCGACGAUGGUGGACACCAUUUGUGUCAAUGUAAUAACGGACACACUGGUUUCUGCUGGAGUAACAGUUGCCACUGCCGACACUAAACUUUAUGUUCUGAAAAAAAUAAAGAAAUGAAUCCAUUA
Long non-coding RNA from Mercenaria mercenaria, 403 nucleotides. RefSeq lists it as uncharacterized. The record is from RefSeq and is a predicted model, not a curated record. Lineage: Eukaryota; Metazoa; Mollusca; Bivalvia; Venerida; Veneridae. The transcript is spliced from 3 exons.